AAAAAGAUAAGCUAAUAAAGCUAAUGGGUUCAUACCCCAUCUAUGGGACAAUUUUUAUUCUCUCUUUUUA
RNAcentral lists this transfer RNA (70 nucleotides) under Stereomastis sculpta. Its description in RNAcentral is "tRNA-Met". The record is from RNAcentral. Lineage: Eukaryota; Metazoa; Arthropoda; Malacostraca; Decapoda; Crangonidae.